This 846-nucleotide long non-coding RNA is filed under the name Olea europaea (common olive). Its description in RNAcentral is "long non-coding RNA (OEUR_LNC012325)". Lineage: Eukaryota; Viridiplantae; Streptophyta; Magnoliopsida; Lamiales; Oleaceae. The record is from RNAcentral.
GAGCUCGAGCUCGAGCAUCAGCCAUAAAACCCCCCUGGGGUGCUGGUGUAGGUGACGGAUGCGAAUUUCUUUGACUUAGCAGCUGAGUCAGUGUGGCGACCUGUUGUCUGAGCUCUUCAAAGGCUCCCGUAGUGACGACUGCCGGCUGGGGCUCUGGCACUUCUGAUGAUUCCUCUUGAGGAACAGGGAUAUCCUCAGGAGGGGGUUGGUUUGGAGCGGAUGAGCUUGCUGGUGGAAGACCUGAACGUGUGUUUACCAUGACUUUUGGUAGCGCUUCCCACAGACGGCGCCAAUGAUGCUACCAAAAAUCGUACCUGCUGAUUUUCCGAGCUUGAUGACUGGUGAGGAGCACGAACGUGAUCUUCCGAUACCUGAAACAAAGGCAACGAGGUGUGUUCUCGUCGCCCCUCCGAUGCUUAAGUCAGAAAGGGAAAUAUAUGCGUGAGGCUAUGUGUUGAAGAACAAUGAGAAAACGUACCUGAAUAAUGGCCCAAGGUUCUGCUUUUAUAGGAGUAGGUAGUGUACUCCUAGUAGGAUUGUGUUGGUUGGAUGUUUUUAUCCAAGGGAAUUUCUAUUAUAAAGAAUGUCCUACUUGUAACGGAAUUGUUUGACAAGUGGUGUUAGGGUUGAUGUAGAAUCCUUGGGUUUUUAGGUUUGUUAGUUAGGUACCCAGGCCUUAGGAGGUACGUUGGUGGUGUAUGUCUCGAGGACUAUUCUCGAGGACAUUGAGGGAAUGUAAAAGUGUCCUCGAGGUAUCUCGAGGACUACAAUAUCUCGAGGACUUAGAUGACCUCGAGGACUGAAGAAGAGAAAUGAGGUGGGGGUAUGUAUUGAGUCCUCGGGAAU